This 68-nucleotide ribosomal RNA is filed under the name Escherichia coli 6-537-08_S4_C1. Its description in RNAcentral is "partial 16S ribosomal RNA". The record is from RNAcentral. Lineage: Bacteria; Pseudomonadati; Pseudomonadota; Gammaproteobacteria; Enterobacterales; Enterobacteriaceae.
AGAGUUUGAUCAUGGCUCAGAUUGAACGCUGGCGGCAGGCCUAACACAUGCAAGUCGAACGGUAACAG